UAAACGAUGAACACUAGGUGUCGGGGGAAUCGACCCCCUCGGUGUCGUAGCCAACGCGUUAAGUGUUCCGCCUGGGGAGUACGCACGCAAGUGUGAAACUCAAAGGAAUUGACGGGGGCCCGCACAAGCGGUGGAGUAUGUGGUUUAAAUCGAUGCAACGCGAAGAACCUUACCAGGGUUUGACAUCCUGCGAAUCCCUUGGAAACGAGGGAGUGCCUUCGGGAGCGCAGUGACAGGCGGUGCAUGGCUGUCGUCAGCUCGUGUCGUGAGAUGUUGGGUUAAGUCCCGCAACGAGCGCAACCCACGUCUUUAGUUGCCAGCAUUUAGUUGGGCACUCUAGAGAGACCGCCGGUGAUAAACCGGAGGAAGGUGUGGAUGACGUCAAGUCAUCAUGCCCCUUACAUCCUGGGCUACACACGUACUACAAUGCUACGGACAAAGGGCAGCAAACUCGCGAGAGCUAGCAAAUCCCAUAAACCGUGGCUCAGUUCAGAUCGUAGGCUGCAACUCGCCUACGUGAAGGAGGAAUCGCUAGUAAUCGCAGGUCAGCAUACUGCGGUGAAUACGUUCCCGGGCCUUGUACACACCGCCCGUCACACCAUGGA
This 605-nucleotide ribosomal RNA is filed under the name uncultured cyanobacterium. RNAcentral's name for it is "bacterial SSU rRNA". It matches the Rfam family "Bacterial small subunit ribosomal RNA", at positions 803 to 1408 of the family's 1533-position model. Lineage: Bacteria; Bacillati; Cyanobacteriota. The record is from RNAcentral.